CAGAUCAUUGUUCUUGCCUCGUUCGAGAGGCCUUGCAAGUGAGAACAUAUACCUAGAAUACAUCAGAGCCAUCAUAGUAAGUUCGAGCAACUGCAUCCCAAACCUCUUUCGAGCUCAAUAAUCAAAUGAAAUACCCAAUUAGAUUGGGUUCCAUAGAAAUGAUCAGUCAUCCUUUGGCAAUGGUGUUCUCCGUUCGCCAUUUACUAAAACUUGGGUUACUAUUCCCAAACAAAUAUCUCAACUUGUCUUUCCCAACAACAAACAUAUAAAACUUUGGAACCAAACUCCGUAAUUGGCACCGUGAUUUUGAUGCAAAUUUGCGCAACGGAUGUAUCAUGGUCAAGGUAUUAAAUAUCGAUAAUAUUGGAAAUAUUGGUAGUCCGAAAACACGGAAAUAUCGAUGGAAAUAUCGGGAUAAUAUCGAUAUCGAUAAAAAUUACAUG
This 443-nucleotide long non-coding RNA is filed under the name Malus domestica (apple). RNAcentral's name for it is "long non-coding RNA (MDOM_LNC004666)". Lineage: Eukaryota; Viridiplantae; Streptophyta; Magnoliopsida; Rosales; Rosaceae. The record is from RNAcentral.